UGUGAGUCAAUUGCGUCAUUUCUUUCUUUAGCGAGUGACGCAAAUGACCAUUAUGGUUUAUAUGUACUCUAGUUGCCUUCCGCCGUUCGAACAUCUAAACUCCAAACCCCAGAAAAUUCAACCCCAAAAUUCCCUGAAAUUCAACAUCAAAACCCCAAAAAAUUGAUCAGUAAAACCCCAGAAUUCCCCAUUGUUGCUUUGCUGCUGUUAAACCCCCAAAACAUCAGCGAAUAAACACUAAUCGAAAAUCCCAACAAAUGUGAGGCAAAAUCGAAAAUCCCAUAACCUACAAAUUCAACCACUAAUCAAAAAUCCCUGCAAAUGUGAGGCAAAAUCCCUUAUAUACGAGCAAAUCCGAGCCAAAAAUCCCCUAUUUUCGAUCAAAAAUCUACCCAAAACCGAACAUAAUUGUGAGAAAAUUGAAGUUUGAAUUUCGAAUUUAGGGUUCAUUUUUUGGUUCUACGAUUGCAAUAGAUGUUGCACACAGAUCUAAGCAAAGAGGUUUGAUUUUCGUUCAAUUUAGUAGCAAUUUGUUACGAUUCUCUUAAAGUUAGGGUUCGUACUCAAUAACAUGGAAUUUUGGAUCUAUUGUUGCUGAAGUUGCAAAAUCGAUUUUAUGCAAGCUUGUAGCAGCAUCAUUUUGUCUCAGAACAGAGGGGGGCAGCAGAACCUUUUUAGCAUAGCCAUUGUAAUCAUGAACUAGCCUUGCAAACCCCGCAGCCAGUAGCACACUAUUCGGAUUCUCACCUUGAAAUACAACCGGUGGCAAGGCAAGGCAUGGUAUCAUAAAUCUUCUCAUAGACCGAUGCACUGACCCAGACAAGAAUACUAAGAAAUUUGCCUGUUUUGCUAUAGGAAAUGCAGCCUUCCAUAAGGAUUCAUUAUACGAAGAACUUAUGAGCUCAUUCUCUAAACUGACAAAUCUGCUGCUGCUACCUGAGGAGGAUAUCACAAAAUUAAAUGCUGCAGGUGCACUGGGUAAUCUUGUUCGUCACUCUAACCUCCUCUGUGAAGAUAUCGUGUCUCAUGGUGCAAUUCAGGAACUGGUGACUUUAAACUGUUUGCAAGAGAAAAAGGAAGUGGACUUCCAUUAUGGACUUGUUCGUGUUAGGGAAAAUGAAGAUUUUGUCCCUAAAUUGAAUUAUGCUGGCUUCAAAUUCCGUAUUAUUUAUUGGAUUAUUUUGUUAUAGUUCUUAGGCUUGAAAUGAACGCAUUUGGUUUACCAACAUUUGGGUUGGUCUGGUGCUUGUGUUAUACUUAUUAAUGAUGAAGAUGUCAAUAUUGUUUUGUUGUAAACUUAUUUGACAGGUUGCUGAUACAAGGCGCCGUCAUUCCCAAAUUAAUGGGUAGGCUAAAAUACAAAGGAAAUUAUGUCGAAAUUUUUAUUUGA
Molecule: RNA transcript, 1390 nt
Organism: Chenopodium quinoa (quinoa)
Lineage: Eukaryota; Viridiplantae; Streptophyta; Magnoliopsida; Caryophyllales; Amaranthaceae
Gene name: serine/threonine-protein kinase TIO-like
Exons: 5
Source: RefSeq, a predicted model, not a curated record